GUGAACGCUGGCGGUAGGCCUAACACAUGCAAGUCGAACGGCAGCACAGUAAGAGCUUGCUCUUACGGGUGGCGAGUGGCGGACGAGUGAGGAAUACAUCGGAAUCUACUUUUUCGUGGGGGAUAACGUAGGGAAACUUACGCUAAUACCGCAUACGACCUACGGGUGAAAGCAGGGGAUCUUCGGACCUUGCGCGAUUGAAUGAGCCGAUGUCGGAUUAGCUAGUUGGCGGGGUAAAGGCCCACCAAGGCGACGAUCCGUAGCUGGUCUGAGAGGAUGAUCAGCCACACUGGAACUGAGACGCGGUCCAGACUCCUACGGGAGGCAGCAGUGGGGAAUAUUGGACAAUGGGCGCAAGCCUGAUCCAGCCAUACCGCGUGGGUGAAGAAGGCCUUCGGGUUGUAAAGCCCUUUUGUUGGGAAAGAAAAGCAGCAGGUUAAUACCCCGCUGUUCUGACGGUACCCAAAGAAUAAGCACCGGCUAACUUCGUG
Molecule: ribosomal RNA, 491 nt
Filed under: uncultured bacterium
Lineage: Bacteria
Description: partial 16S ribosomal RNA
Rfam family: Bacterial small subunit ribosomal RNA
Source: RNAcentral